RNAcentral lists this ribosomal RNA (457 nucleotides) under uncultured bacterium. RNAcentral describes it as "bacterial SSU rRNA". It matches the Rfam family "Bacterial small subunit ribosomal RNA", at positions 343 to 791 of the family's 1533-position model. The record is from RNAcentral.
UGGAGGCAGCAGUGGGGAAUCUUGCGCAAUGGGCGAAAGCCUGACGCAGCAACGCCGCGUGGAGGAUGAAGGCCCUUGGGUUGUAAACUCCUGUCGGCUGGGAAGAAGUCGUUCGCGGCUAAUACCCGCGGACGUUGACUGUACCAGCAAAGGAAGCCCCGGCUAACUCUGUGCCAGCAGCCGCGGUAAUACAGAGGGGGCCAGCGUUAUUCGGAAUUAUUGGGCGUAAAGGGCGCGUAGGCGGCCACGCGUGUCUUCCGUGAAAUCCCUCGGCUCAACCGAGGACGUGCGGAAGAAACUGCGAGGCUCGAGUCCAGAAGAGGGGGGCGGAAUUCCCAGUGUAGCGGUGAAAUGCGUAGAUAUUGGGAGGAACACCGGUGGCGAAGGCGGCCCCCUGGGCUGGUACUGACGCUGAUGCGCGAAAGCGUGGGUAGCAAACGGGAUUAGAUACCCCGGU